GAGCAAAUCAACCAGCACAUUUAAGCAGCCUUUUUAACCCUGAGACUUUCCAAGAUUUCUUCUUCACACAGGAAGUUUCUUUAUAUUGUCAGAUUUAGCACUUUGCUCAUGUAAUGAGAUCAGAGCUAGGAUCACUGCUGCACAGUAGAAAGACUUCCUUAAGACAUUUGUCCUUGAAACUGCACCAAACUCUUGGAAGAACCCAGAACCUGAUUUGCUGACAUUUUGGCUGUUUCAUUGCCAGAGGAGGCUUUGUGUGUCCCAAAGGAAGUGAGUGAUCUGGCCAUAACAAAUCCUGCCAAAAUAUUUUAACACCGUUACGAUUUCCUAAUGCAAUGCGUAGUGAAUGUGACUAGGAAAGGAUGGUGAGUCCGUGACGGGGAUUUGUUCCCUCUCGCGUGCAGUUGCCCGGYAGAACGAGCACCGAUGAGCCCUGG
This 437-nucleotide long non-coding RNA is filed under the name Dromaius novaehollandiae (emu). RNAcentral describes it as "lncRNA (ENSDNVG00000002332.1)". Lineage: Eukaryota; Metazoa; Chordata; Aves; Casuariiformes; Dromaiidae. The record is from RNAcentral.